RNAcentral lists this long non-coding RNA (424 nucleotides) under Drosophila guanche. The record is from RNAcentral. Lineage: Eukaryota; Metazoa; Arthropoda; Insecta; Diptera; Drosophilidae.
AGCACGGGAGCUUUCUCUUCAGGAUGUAAAUGUAUGUAAAUUAUUAAAAGAGAGAUGUAUAUUAACUGAUAAUGUUGCAAAUUUUAAAAAAUGGCGCGAACAACAAAAUCGAUAAAGAAAUUCUAUUAUUUUUCUGAAAGGGAGAGGGAACGGGAACAUAAGUAAAUAUUAGGAUGAACUCGAAGUGGUUUGGGCGGCAGUUAUUCUAUCUUCAAAACAUAAUUGGGUCUAAACUCCGAUUUGUCUGCCCUAUAUUGGAGUAUUGUUCUUGUGUGUCCUCCAUACAAGGACCAACAAAUUUCCCGAUUACUCAUAUGCAGUAUAAUGACGCCCAGCAUUAACCUUUUCAGGUUUUAUGGAAUAAUAAUAAUUAUUUAAUGUACCUUAAUUUAAGCAAAUUUGUAAAUUGUGUCUUUCCUUCCUC